This 253-nucleotide ribosomal RNA is filed under the name uncultured bacterium. Its description in RNAcentral is "partial 16S ribosomal RNA". It matches the Rfam family "Bacterial small subunit ribosomal RNA", at positions 524 to 776 of the family's 1533-position model. The record is from RNAcentral.
UACAGAGGGGGCAAGCGUUGUUCGGAAUUACUGGGCGUAAAGCGCGUGUAGGCGGCAACGCAAGUCGGGCGUGAAAUCCCACGGCUCAACCGUGGAAGUGCACUCGAAACUGCGUAGCUAGAGUCCUGGAGAGGAAGGUGGAAUGCUUGGUGUAGAGGUGAAAUUCGUAGAUAUCAAGCGGAACACCGGUGGCGAAGGCGGCCUUCUGGACAGUGACUGACGCUGAGACGCGAAAGCGUGGGGAGCAAACAGG